This 468-nucleotide ribosomal RNA is filed under the name uncultured bacterium. RNAcentral's name for it is "partial 16S ribosomal RNA". It matches the Rfam family "Bacterial small subunit ribosomal RNA", at positions 28 to 507 of the family's 1533-position model. The record is from RNAcentral.
GACGAACGCUGGCGGCGUGCUUAACACAUGCAAGUCGAACGGAAAGGCCCUGCUUUUGUGGGGUGCUCGAGUGGCGAACGGGUGAGUAACACGUGAGUAACCUGCCCUUGACUUUGGGAUAACUUCAGGAAACUGGGGCUAAUACCGGAUAGGAGCUCCUGCUGCAUGGUGGGGGUUGGAAAGUUUCGGCGGUUGGGGAUGGACUCGCGGCUUAUCAGCUUGUUGGUGGGGUAGUGGCUUACCAAGGCUUUGACGGGUAGCCGGCCUGAGAGGGUGACCGGCCACAUUGGGACUGAGAUACGGCCCAGACUCCUACGGGAGGCAGCAGUGGGGAAUAUUGCACAGUGGGCGGAAGCGUGAUGCAGCAACGCCGCGUGCGGGAUGACGGCCUUCGGGUUGUAAACCGCUUUCGCCUGUGACGAAGCGUGAGUGACGGUAAUGGGUAAAGAAGCACCGGCUAACUACGUG